Long non-coding RNA from Caretta caretta (loggerhead turtle), 2246 nucleotides. RefSeq lists it as uncharacterized. The record is from RefSeq and is a predicted model, not a curated record. NCBI's taxonomy places the organism in Eukaryota, Metazoa, Chordata, Testudines, Cheloniidae.
UCCCUCCACACAGACACAGGCUCACUGCCUCACCAACACAAACAGCACUGACCUGCUUACCACACCAGGCAGAAGGAGACACACUGUCUUGGCACAUCUUUCAGGGUGCCUUGAGAGGAUUUUGAGGCACCGAACUAACACACGAUUGCGAGCUUUUGGGGACAGUAAUGUGACUUUCUAUGGACUUGCACAAAUCCCAGCAUGUGGUGGCACCACUUGGACACAACAACAAGGAGUACAGUUUCCAAAAUCCCAAUCUGUUCCCUACUAGAUGGGAAUCCUAUUUGAAAGCACUGCCAAAGGAUGCUAUGCAGCACCACAGAAAAAGGAGCAUGUUUCCAGAGUACAAUGCCUUCAGCGGUCUGUAGGAAAUGGCUGAAAAGAAAAUUCAGGCACUACAUAACAGAGUACGAAAUUUGGCAGGGGAAAAAUGGUUAGGUAUAUUGUCAUACCAAUGUUGAAAGAAUGUACUAGAGAAUACUCAACUUGGUUGAGGUGAAGAAUUUCGGGUUAAAGAAAAGAGCAAGUUAUAAAAUAUGUUUCUGUUUAUUUGGAAACCUUCAUUUUUUUAAUGUAAACAUCUCCAUUGUAUUUUGUGAAUACAAACAGAACCAUGCAAGGACAUGAGAAGCAGGAGGUGAAACUCAUUAUAAAAGGCAAGUCAGUCUGUUUUAUUUGUCCAAACUAAGUAAAAUGCUGGGAAAAAAAAGUGAAAAAACAAGCAUGAAUAAUGAAAAAUAAAUUAAAUAAUAAUACAUUAUUAAACUGGUAAAAAUUUGUAUUACAAGCAAGGAUUACAAAUAUGUAUUUUCAGUAGUGCCCAUUUAAUGUCUUUCUAAAGCAAAAUUAAAGCCUGGAUUUGGAACCAGGAUAUUUAUCAGUUGUUUCAUUCUCUUCUAUAUACUCUGCCCCUUUCCAUGAACAGUAUAUCUUCUUCCACAAUCAAUAUAAAGCUAUCGCAAACUUACAAAACCCCCAUCAGUAUAUGCACUGGGCAACACAUGACCACACUUAUGGGCUCUUAAAAAAAUAAAUAAGGAUAGUCUCAAAAAACAGAAGGAAUGUCUGUUUCUCUCAUUUAGUUCACAAAGCUUUGCAAAGACGACAAAAAAUGUUGACCCUUAUGGAAAGUUAGCACUGUGUGCAAAAUUAAGAAGUAAAUAAAAAUACUAAUUUCUACCCUAUUCAUUCUGCAACAACGUUCAGCUCUUAUCUUGGCUACGCAUUUUACCGCGUGACUUCAAUUGUGGGUUUUUUAAAAAUAUUGUUAAAAAUCGCUUUUAAGAGGGGAGGUUAAUCAUUGUUGAGUCAUCUUGUAUACAAUUUUCCACGCGUUUUUAAAAGAGCUUUUCAAAAUGUACUCCUAGAAGAUAAUCAUUCCAAGGUGUAAACCAUAACAUAUCUCUUUGGCCUGUUCUUUCUAAAGCAUAGCCUGUUUUGCUUCUUGUUACUUCACAUAUUCAGAAACUUUUUAUUGCCCUGGCUCAGAAUCAAGCCAGUACAAUUCAUUUCUGACAGAAAAAGCAUUUCAGAGUCACUAGUAAACUGGCAGCCUGCAUUAUUCAGGGUAUCAUUUUGCACUUUAAUUCAGAAAAUUAGCUAAGUACAUCUGGUCCCAGAAAUAAGUGUGUUUGUGACAAGGUAAUAUUUUUUUCCUCACACACUUUCCAACCAGAACAUUUUUUCUUGAUGUGCAAUUUUGCUGCAUAUCAUUUAGAUGAGAUGUUAUUCCAAAAGAAACAGGAGGCACAAUAAAGGAGCCAGAGUGGACAAAUGAGUUUGGGGAAAGCUAAUAGGGGAUAUGGACAACAAAUGACAUUUGGGAGUAUUCCCUCUUGCCCAUCAAAAGACCAAUCACACAUUCAUGGCUGGAAUUUAGAAAGAUCCCUAUGUAAGUAGCUAUAUCUUAUCAGCAAUCACUUUUUCUGCCUUUCCACAUUGGAACAGGAUAGAAUUAUUUAUACAAGGAAUUUCAAAUAACUGUGGCUUUCACGGCUUUUUUCCUUUAGCCAAAAAUGUAUCCUAUCGUUUUGGAACAAUGAAGUAUUCUAAAAAUCUAACAAAACAGCAACAAAGCUUUCCUGAAUUUGUUUAAGUAACAUUUAAAUAAAAUGGGGGUAAAUGAAGUCCAAUUACUGAACAAGUAGGUGCCCUGAAACACUGCAAAAAGGAUUAGCAAUUCCAAUUUAUUAUUUCUGUCUCAAAUAAUUUAAAAUGACUAAUAGGUAGGGUCAACAAAAUGAAUA